Long non-coding RNA from Xenia sp. Carnegie-2017, 345 nucleotides. RefSeq lists it as uncharacterized. NCBI's taxonomy places the organism in Eukaryota, Metazoa, Cnidaria, Anthozoa, Malacalcyonacea, Xeniidae. The transcript is spliced from 2 exons. The record is from RefSeq and is a predicted model, not a curated record.
UUAUUGUCUACAUGUCAAUCACAAAAAAUAUAACAUUUUAGUCCAACCAACAGUGUCAAAUAACAUCACCAGUGAAGAAAGAACUCGUCCACACUUCCAAGCAUGUGGGAAAGCAAUGAAAGGCCAUCAAUAUGUCCUUGACUGUCCACGGAACAAGAAUCCAAAAUGAGGGAAAUUGAGUCCUUAUUGAAUGAUAGGCACAAGCAGGCAGUGGUAUCCUUUUCCUUCCUAAGUAACCAUGCACCAGCUGGGUAAACUCUCGAUAGGCAACACUUCUUAAAUACCUAUAUUUACAAAUUAAACAAAUGUUUGUUUCACAAUAAUUAAAUUUAACAUAAGAUGAAA